Molecule: long non-coding RNA, 467 nt
Organism: Ornithorhynchus anatinus (platypus)
Lineage: Eukaryota; Metazoa; Chordata; Mammalia; Monotremata; Ornithorhynchidae
Exons: 3
Source: RefSeq, a predicted model, not a curated record
CCAGAUAGACCGGUCGACCAAAAUUCAGAUAUUGGAAUGUGUGAAGCUCCUCUGGAAGUCACUGGAACAUCUCUGAGUUUGGCGGAAAGGAGGAUCAUGGCAAUAAAGCCCACAGAAAAUUAGAUCUCAUUCUUCAAGCUAUAUCUUCAACUCAAUCAAAGGCCCAUCUUAAAUAGGAAACUCAUCUCUGCCCUACGGGAACUCUAUUCCAAAGUAUUUCAGAUGAGACCUUGAAAAUGCAGGCAGACUGAUUGGAGCGGUUUAGAGUGCUGGUGCCGAUGCAUCUGGAUUUACGAGAUGAUGUCCGGAAGAGGACCGGAGAGAACAAGGUGGCCAGCCCCUUCAAAAGGACAACCUGCUGUUUCUGAUUUUUGCCGGAGAAAUUCUUUCGGAGCUGAAACUUCUUCAAUCGAUAGUAUAAUUAAGCCCCAGUGUGCAAGUCACUGAACUAAGUGCUUGUUUCUUCC